RNAcentral lists this small RNA (72 nucleotides) under Winslowiella iniecta. RNAcentral describes it as "Erwinia iniecta osmY RNA". It matches the Rfam family "osmY RNA". Lineage: Bacteria; Pseudomonadati; Pseudomonadota; Gammaproteobacteria; Enterobacterales; Erwiniaceae. The record is from Rfam by way of RNAcentral.
ACAGUUACGCCGUUUGUAGCUGUAAAGCUCACGAUUGUGGGCGCAUCAACAGACAGAAGGAAUAUAUCGAUG